ACGUAGGGUGCGAGCGUUAAUCGGAAUUACUGGGCGUAAAGCGUGCGCAGGCGGUUGGCUAAGUUCGUUGUGAGAGCGCCCAGGCUUAACCGGGCGAGGACAAUGAAGACUGGUCAGCUAGAGGACGGUAGAGGCAAGUGGAAUUCCGGGUGUAGUGGUGAAAUGCGUAGAGAUCCGGAGGAACCCCGGUGGCGAAGGCGACUUGCUGGGCCUGAACUGACGCUCAGACGCGAAAGCAUGGGGAGCGAACGG
This 252-nucleotide ribosomal RNA is filed under the name uncultured prokaryote. Its description in RNAcentral is "partial 16S ribosomal RNA". It matches the Rfam family "Bacterial small subunit ribosomal RNA", at positions 525 to 775 of the family's 1533-position model. The record is from RNAcentral.